UGUAAGGGAAGUCUCGGUCGGAUAAGACGGAGAGGAACUCUUGCCCGACGGCGCCGGUGACGCCGACGACGGCGAGAGAGGGCGCGGAUUCGUGGAGAGACAUUUUGACUCUUGCGGAGAUGGCUCUGGGUUUGGGCUUGAGAGGAAGGUUAGAGAGGAAAUGGGUCUGUGGGGUUUGAUGAGUGAGUGUCGCCAUUGUCGCCGUCGCGAGGAGGAGGAGGAGGAAGAAGUGAGAGAGAGAGACAAAAAGAGGUUUUGGCGGCGGCGGUGAUAGAAGAAAGGUUGAUACUUUAGAGUGCUAAUCAUUUUUUCAUAAUGAAACAUCAGGCUUUUUUAAUAUAGUAAAUGAGAACAACACGCUUUUUAUAUCUGGAAUAGUGAAACUGUAGGAUGUUUGAAAGCGGUGAGCAACAGAGUUAUAUAUUCCACACAACUUUCUCAUGUGUUUGAUUGGUUCUUUUGAGAACUUUUGAAAAGUUAUAACGAUAUUUUUGUUCUAAUCAUUACAGAACAAAAAAGAGUUAAAGCAGUACUGAAAUUAAUAAUUAUGGAUUAAAGCAUGGUUUAGUGUUUUAUAAUUGCUCCCAAGUAGAGAGUUAAAACAUGAUUGUUGUUUGCUUGUUCACAUUUCUGGAGCAGUCUUAGGAAGAAGAACAUCUUGGAUUAGUGUGAGCUUAGCUCGGCCACGGUAUUCUUCCGGCAAGGCAUCUACUCCAAUCUCCUCCUUGAACUUUAUCUCUUCUUCUCCAUCCGUUACUAUCACAAUCUAUUACAACAAAAGGGUAACAUGCUUGAGAUUUACUCAAGAAUGUGGCAGGUAAGUACUCAUCAAUAAAAGAGUAGAGAUCAAAACCUUUUCUUGAGUAGAUUUCUCUAGAAAACGGCAGACGAAUCUCCAAACGGACACGAAGAAUCCAGGCAUAUGCAACAUGUAGCAUUUUGCAAGGCGUUCCGGGUAGUAAGACUGGACAAAACAUGUUCAAGAUUUAAAACAAGAUGCUGAGUUUUCUUGGUUCGGAUGUGAUCUACAUUUUUAGAUAGAGGAAGAUGAGAUAGUUACUUGUAAGAAUUGAAAGCUGGUGAUUAGUCCACGAGCAUCAAGGUUCUUGUAAGUAAUGUUUGCAAGAUCGAAAACGGCUACUAACUUCUCAUCUCCUACUUCUUUGUCUUUGAUGCCACUGAAACAUACGAACCAAAAAGGUUGUAAUACAAUCAAGGAACCGAAAUAUCAGCGUUUUGAAAUGUUUUUGGUUAAAGUGAUGUGUGUUAACCUUGCAAUUGUUUUGUCUAGUACAUAAACAACAAACUCUGCAAACACCAAACACAUGAAAAGAUUAGUCCAUAGAUAAUAAUAUUUAAAUCAAAUGAAACGACUCAAUAUUAACAAGAGAACAUGAAAGCUGACAUGGGAUUCCCAAACAGAAUACUUAUCUACUCAAUGAACAGUUUAGAUUCAAAGAAGUCUUAAAUAGAGUAAGAGGUGAUUGAUUACUCUUGAAGUUAACUGCAUUCUUGGCAGGAAAAUGCUUAGAGCAUAAGACAAGCACCAAAGGGUGUCCGGAUUUGGUUGGACCCUGAAGACAAAUCUUUCCAAACUCCAACUCAUCCCUCACUUCUGAGUCUGGGAUCCCAUUUGGAGGAACCAUGGAGGCUCUCCAUUUUUGACAAUCUACAAACAUCUUUGCUGCCUUGUCAGGGUUCAUCGAUCUUGCCACCAAGAACCUCAUCAACGUCGGUUUCUCAUAUCCCUUACAGAUGAAAAAACAUAACAAAAACAAUCAGAUUUUCUGAUAUGGAUUAGAAUGGCUAAAAGAACACCAACAACUUUAAUUACCUCUGUGGAAGAAGAGAGUUUCUCGACCGAUGUUCUCAACUGGGUCAAAGCAAGUUCGUGACUUUCCUCCAUUGUCUUUUUGGCUCUCAGAUCUUCAAAGGCUUCUGCAAAGAUUAUAAAGAGGGAGGGAGAGAAAGAGAGACAGCCUUUUGUGUGUUGGGAUGUUUAUGUACACACACUAGACCUAGUACGCACAUACGAAUAAGUCAGUUGAAAAGUAAAUAGCUUUUAUGUUUGUGAUGUUGACAGAAGCCUGAAAAAUAUCAAAAAGACCGGACAGAGGAUUUGUGUACUCGUGUGUCUUUACCCCGGUUCACGGCAAAAACAGACAGGCUGGAAGUUGAAUCUGUCUCUAUCAUUUUGACUUUUAUUUGAUUCCCUUGAAGAUUAUUAUAAUCACUACACAGCUGCGAUUAUUCAAUGACUUAACUACUAAAUCCACUCUCUAACGUGUUUGAUUGCUUCUUUUGGAAAUUUAAACUAGUUGAAAAGUUCAAACAACAGUUAUGCUCAAAAUUUUCUAAUAAUGAGAGAAUAAAUUAAAUAAAUAAAUCAGUACGAAAAUUAAAUAAUGUGCACGGCGCCAAGGCUUAGUGUUUGAAUGUUAAAAUGGUCCAAAAAAUUAAGAGUUACGCAUUAUUAUUUGUUUUUAUUUGUUUAUUAUUCCUUGAGCAGAUUGAGGAAGAAGAACAUCUUGUAGUGAGUGCUGCGAGUGUGAGAUUAGCUCGGCCACAGUAUUCUUCCUGCAAGGCAUCUACUCCAACUUCCACUCUUCUUCAUUUACUAUCACAAUCUUAAUUAGUAUACAAGCCGCGGCUCAAAUUCUUUCCUUAUCUUAAAGAUCUUGUUAAUUACACCCUUUUGUCGUCGUAAUGCGAGCCACUUCAAAUAUGACUCAACUGGGAUACGCGUACCGGUGAAAUGAUAGGGGACCGGUUCAAUUUAUGUGGUUAAGUUCGGUUAAAUUGUGACCCAAUUCUCUUUUUGCCAGAUUUGGUUUUGAGUUUUAUGACACCAUCUCCAAUGAUUUACUCUAUUUUUUACUCUAAUAUAGAACUAGAUUUUGACCCGCGCUUGAAAGCGCGGAUUCUUUUGUUAUAACAAAUUUUGAUAUGAAUUAGUAUUGUAUGAUUGUUUUACAUUAUUAUGUUACAAAGUCGAAUUAUAUAAAAUAAAUAAUUUUUAAAAAUAUUAUAUAAUUCAUGAAUUACUUUAUUUGGAAUUUUGUAUAAAUUUUAUGUAAUUAUCUCUUAUGCAUGGUAUUUUACAUGGAUCCCGAAAAACCAAACCAAAAUCAGCUCGAAAAUUUUGGUUCGGUUCGCGUCGGGUCCAGAGAAAAAUACGUAUUUUUUUUUUUGAAAUGUGGGUCUCUGUUCGCGUCUGGGACCUACCCGAAACCCGUUUGGGAUCAAAGUACCCAAAAUGUUGUGUAAAUUAUAUAUAUUUGUGUAUUUUGGAUAUUUUUUUGAUAUACAUAUAUUUUUGAGUUUUGGUUUGAAAUUCCGGUUAUAGUUUUGGAUUUCGAGUAAAAAAUCAAAAUUUAUAAAUAUAUUUGGGUAUUCAGAUAAAAUUUUGGGUAUUUUUUGGUUCAUCGGGUCAGAUUUCAAGUACAAUUUUAGGUCUUUUGAGUAUUUUCUGAUUUUCAGGUAUUUGUUUAGAUUUUGGAUAUUUUUUCGUGUUUCGAGUAUAUUUAUGUUUAUCGAGUUUUAUUUGAGUCCUAAAUAUCUGAACGGAUCCAUACCCGUUACAUACAAAAAAUACUUACCACAGACGGGGAUGAGAGAUCUCCGAUCACUUAUGUCCGAUAUAGUCGCCGAGUAAGUAGAUGAUGAGUGAUCGCUUUAGGAUUCUCAAUUAUUUUAUUCUUAUUUAUAAACACUGAAUUGACCGAAGACAGUGUUUUGAUUUUUCGUCUUCUUCGUCGUCGUCUUCAAGGGUCCCACUAGUUUGAGCUUCAAUACUCUGCUUCGAGUAUCCCGAAUUGCUUAUGUCCGAUUGCUGACGUCAUCGUAUUAGAAACUUAAUCGGACGGUCGAGAACUCUCAAUGAUGUGAAUUAAAGAGUACUUAAGCGUCGUUUAUAGGACGCAAUUUAGAAGAUUUUUUUUUAUAGUAAAAAAGGAAUUUUUAGAAGGAUAAAGGAAACAUAGAUUUGAAGAGGAGAUAGGUUAAAUAUUUAAAGAGCCAAUUAAAACAGAAAGUAGAGAGAUAUUCGUUUUCAUAAUCACGAUAUUACUUUCUGUUUUUCAUUCAUCAUUUUUUUCUGAUGUGGGGUAAUGAUAUAACGACAAAGUAACCAACCUUCGUAGCGAAGGAGUUGAUCAGUAUUGGAUAACACUUUAUUCAAUCUUAAUAGAUAAAUAAAAUAUUUCGCAGGAAUCGUACGGGCUAACUAAACUACAAAGCGAAAAGGAAGGACAAUGUGGGCCUAUUGGUGACUGGUUAGUGCGUAGAAUAAUUGAGGGACCAUAAGAUUUGAUCCUCUGUGGCUAGACCUAUUAUAAAGCAAUCUGAACUUCUGAAGACCACCUGCAAAAUUGAAUCUUCCAUUGACCAAACCGGUACUGGUUCGAACCGGUAACUGGUAAGGUUCAAGCGUAGGGAUGGAUUAAUUUUCAGAGACAACUUCGUGUAUAAGAAAGUAACAAAAAUUCGUCAAAGGGAAACAAAAAAAAAAGAGACAAAGUCUUCGCUCAAAUCUCAUACAGAGAUGUCAUGCCAAGUGAGAGAAUCGAAAUCAAAAGAGCAUCUCAGCGAUCUGAACAGCAUUGAGAGCAGCUCCUUUGCGUAUUUGAUCUCCACAUACGAAUAUGUCAAGCCUGUAUUUCACAAAGUUUAUUAUUAUUAAUAAGUAAUAACCAAAUGGUAAAAAUCUCAACCGGUUCAAUAGAAAGAGUGAAGCUUUUUUUACUUACCCGUAAUUGCCAUCUUGAGACACGUCUCGCCUGAUCCUACCAACGGCGACAUCGUCUUUGUUAGAGACAUCAAGUGGAGUAGGGAAGGUGUUAGAAGCGCGGUCGUCUAUGAUAUAAACUCCAGGUGCUUUCUUCAACAGCUCUCUUGCUGUGUUCUGUUAAUUUACAGUUACAAAAAACCGUUAUAGCCCGAAUAAAAAAAACUGAUCAUAAUAUUCUUUUGCCGCCAAGAAGAAUCACAAAACUUAUUUACUCACUAGCGUCUUAACAUGCAAGCUAGCAGAUAAAAGCCCAAAUAACAACUUCAGAGAACACUAUCCAAGUCUACAAUCUUAAAGAAACCAAUGCUUCAAAUAACUAUUGAAUAACAAAUUUAGUAGCAAAAAAGGGUUUGAUGUGUAUUAUUAUUACCUCGUCCAGGGGAUUCUCAAACUGGAGAUUCACACUCUCUGCAUGAGCACGCAUAACCGGAACACGUAUACACGUCGCUGUUACUUUUACUUCUGUAUCAUUCUGGGAAGUGCAAGAAAGGUAAGAAGCCUCUUUAAUACAACCAACAUUUUGAACAAAAGAUCACAGUGAAGUGGAUAUUUAGAUGUAGCCAGCUCUUUAUGUAAAGACACUCACCCAGAUCUUCCUUGUUUCUUUAACAAGUUUCACCUCCUCUUCGUUGUAACCAUUCUCAGUAAUGGGAGCAUUAUGUGAGAACAGGUUAAAUGCAUACUGUAGAAAACAUACAACCAUCAAACUCAGAAUCAAAACAUUCGAAACAUAAUUCUAUAACCAAACUGAAGAGGAGUAUUCACCUGCUGCCCGAAGAUGUUACAAGUCGGCGGUCUGCCCGCUAAAACCUAACACAACACCAACCCAAAAAAAGAAUCUUUCUUCAGAAUCACUACUCACCACAACCGUUAAGACCAAAGUCAAUAAAAUGUCUAAAUAGAAACCAAACCUCGCGAGUCUGCUGCACAAGCUCCUCCAUAGCUGCAGCACCUGCGCCACUAGCUGCUUGAUACGUACUAACCACCAUCCUCUUCACCUGUUACAAACCAAUAAGAUCAUUACACAGAGCACAAAGACGCAUACUUUGUCAUCAAAAACGUCGUCGUUCCAUUGAUUCAGCGUUCAUAAAAAAUCGAACCUUGGCGUGACGAUGAAGAGGCGUAACAGCCAUCAAACAGAUAAUGGUGGAGCAAUUAGGGUUCGCAAUCAACGCCCCUUUACCACUUCCGACUUUAAUCCCUCUCAUCGCCUCAGGGUUCACUUCAGGUAUCACAAGCGGGACGCCGUCAACCAUACGAAAAGCAGAGCUGUUAUCAACGACGAUGGUUCCUCUCUCGGCCGCCAUUGGCCCAAAGGCCUUGCUUAUUGAUCCUCCGGCGCUGAACAGCGCGAUGUCGACGCCGUCGAAGCUCUCCGCAGUGAGCUCCUCCACCGUGUACUCGCGCCCGUCGAAGGCGACGCGUUUCCCGGCGGAGCGUUUGGAGGCAAGCAUCUUGACGGAGCUGUAAGGGAAGUCUCGGUCGGAUAAGACGGAGAGGAACUCUUGCCCGACGGCGCCGGUGACGCCGACGACGGCGAGAGAGGGCGCGGAUUCGUGGAGAGACAUUUUGACUCUUGCGGAGAUGGCUCUGGGUUUGGGCUUGAGAGGAAGGUUAGAGAGGAAAUGGGUCUGUGGGGUUUGAUGAGUGAGUGUCGCCAUUGUCGCCGUCGCGAGGAGGAGGAGGAGGAAGAAGUGAGAGAGAGAGACAAAAAGAGGUUUUGGCGGCGGCGGUGAUAGAAGAAAGGUUGAUACUUUAGAG
Molecule: long non-coding RNA, 6550 nt
Filed under: Brassica napus (rape)
Lineage: Eukaryota; Viridiplantae; Streptophyta; Magnoliopsida; Brassicales; Brassicaceae
Description: long non-coding RNA (BNAP_LNC004935)
Source: RNAcentral